CCUACGGGUGGCAGCAGUCGAGAAUCAUUCACAAUGGGGGAAAGCCUGAUGCUGCGACGCCGCGUGGGGGAAUGAAGGUCUUCGGUUUUUAACCACCUGUCAUGUGGGAGCAAAUUAAAUAGAUAAUACAACAAGAGGUAGAGACGGCUAACUCUGUGCCAGCCGCCUCGGUAAUACAGAGGACGCAAGCUUGUUUCGGAAUCACUGGGCGUAAAGCGUGUGUAGGCUGUUUCACAAGUCGUGUGUGAAAGGCGCGGGCUAAACGCGGGAACGGCACAUGAUACUGGGAGACUGGAGUAAGGGAGGGGAAAGUGGAAUUCCCGGUGUAGGAGUGAAAUGCGUAGAGAUCGGGAGGAACACUAGUGGCGAAGGCGAGUACCUGG
This 383-nucleotide ribosomal RNA is filed under the name uncultured bacterium. Its description in RNAcentral is "partial 16S ribosomal RNA". It matches the Rfam family "Bacterial small subunit ribosomal RNA", at positions 338 to 732 of the family's 1533-position model. The record is from RNAcentral.